Molecule: ribosomal RNA, 294 nt
Filed under: Leuconostoc mesenteroides
Lineage: Bacteria; Bacillati; Bacillota; Bacilli; Lactobacillales; Lactobacillaceae
Description: partial 16S ribosomal RNA
Rfam family: Bacterial small subunit ribosomal RNA
Source: RNAcentral
UUAUGACCUGGGCUACACACGUGCUACAAUGGCGUAUACAACGAGUUGCCAACCCGCGAGGGUGAGCUAAUCUCUUAAAGUACGUCUCAGUUCGGAUUGUAGUCUGCAACUCGACUACAUGAAGUCGGAAUCGCUAGUAAUCGCGGAUCAGCACGCCGCGGUGAAUACGUUCCCGGGUCUUGUACACACCGCCCGUCACACCAUAGGAGUUUGUAAUGCCCAAAGCCGGUGGCCUAACCUUUUAGGAAGGAGCCGUCUAAGGCAGGACAGAUGACUGGGGGAAGUCGUAACAAG